Molecule: ribosomal RNA, 295 nt
Filed under: Pseudomonas aeruginosa
Lineage: Bacteria; Pseudomonadati; Pseudomonadota; Gammaproteobacteria; Pseudomonadales; Pseudomonadaceae
Description: partial 23S ribosomal RNA
Rfam family: Bacterial large subunit ribosomal RNA
Source: RNAcentral
GUGAUCCGGAUCGAGGACAGUGUAUGGUGGGCAGUUUGACUGGGGCGGUCUCCUCCUAAAGAGUAACGGAGGAGUACGAAGGUGCGCUCAGACCGGUCGGAAAUCGGUCGCAGAGUAUAAAGGCAAAAGCGCGCUUGACUGCGAGACAGACACGUCGAGCAGGUACGAAAGUAGGUCUUAGUGAUCCGGUGGUUCUGUAUGGAAGGGCCAUCGCUCAACGGAUAAAAGGUACUCCGGGGAUAACAGGCUGAUACCGCCCAAGAGUUCAUAUCGACGGCGGUGUUUGGCACCUCGA